UGAAGCGGGAAAAGCUCAAAUUUAAAAUCUGGCGUCCUCCGGGCGUCCGAGUUGUAAUCUGGAGAAGCGUUUUCCGCGUCGGACCGUGUACAAGUCUUCUGGAACGGAGCGUCAUAGAGGGUGAGAAUCCCGUCUCUGACACGGACUACCGAUGCUUUUGUGAUGCGCUCUCGAAGAGUCGAGUUGUUUGGGAAUGCAGCUCAAAAUGGGUGGUAAAUUCCAUCUAAAGCUAAAUAUUGGCCAGAGACCGAUAGCGAACAAGUACCGUGAGGGAAAGAUGAAAAGCACUUUGGAAAGAGAGUUAAACAGUACGUGAAAUUGUUGAAAGGGAAACGCUUGAAGUCAGUCGCGUUGGCCGAGACUCAGCCUGGCUUGCCUGGUGUACUUCUCGGUUGACGGGUCAGCAUCAGUUUUGACCGUCGGAUAAAGGUUGGAGGAAUGUGGCAUCCCUCGGGAUGUGUUAUAGCCUCUGAUUCGCAUACGGCGAUUGGGACUGAGGAACUCAGCACGCCUUUAUGGUCGGGGUUCGCCCACGUAACGUGCUUAGGAUGCUGGCAUAAUGGCUUUAAGCGACCCGUCUUGAAACACGGACCAAGGAGUCUAACAUGCCCGCGAGUGUUUGGGUGUUAAACCCGAGCGCGUAAUGAAAGUGAAAGUUGAGAUC
Molecule: ribosomal RNA, 664 nt
Filed under: Athelia abscondita
Lineage: Eukaryota; Fungi; Basidiomycota; Agaricomycetes; Atheliales; Atheliaceae
Description: partial large subunit ribosomal RNA
Rfam family: Eukaryotic large subunit ribosomal RNA
Source: RNAcentral